Molecule: ribosomal RNA, 502 nt
Filed under: uncultured bacterium
Lineage: Bacteria
Description: partial 16S ribosomal RNA
Rfam family: Bacterial small subunit ribosomal RNA
Source: RNAcentral
GACGAACGCUGGCGGCGUGCUUAACACAUGCAAGUCGAACGGUGAAGGGGUCUGCUUUUGUGGGCCCUGGAUGAGUGGCGAACGGGUGAGUAACACGUGAGUAACCUGCCCCCUUCUUCUGGAUAACCGCAUGAAAGUGUGGCUAAUACGGGAUAUUCUGGGUCUGUCGCAUGAUGGGUCUGGGAAAGAUUGCGCCUUUGGGUGUUUUUGGUGGGGGAUGGGCUCGCGGCCUAUCAGCUUGUUGGUGGGGUGAUGGCCUACCAAGGCGGUGACGGGUAGCCGGCCUGAGAGGGUGGACGGUCACACUGGGACUGAGACACGGCCCAGACUCCUACGGGAGGCAGCAGUGGGGAAUAUUGCACAAUGGGCGCAAGCCUGAUGCAGCGACGCCGCGUGAGGGAUGGAGGCCUUCGGGUUGUAAACCUCUUUCGCCAGUGAAGUAGGCCUGCUCCUUGUGGGUGGGUUGACGGUAGCUGGAGAAGAAGCGCCGGCUAACUACGUG